CCCCUAGUAACUGCGAGUGAAGCGGGAAGAGCUCAAAUUUAAAAUCUGGCAGCUCUGCUGUCCGAGUUGUAAUCUGUAGAAGCAUUUUCUGCAUUGGACUGUGUACAAGUCUCUUGGAAUAGAGCGUCAUAGAGGGUGAGAAUCCCGUCCAUGACACAGACUACCAAUGCUUUGUGAUAUGCUCUCAAAGAGUCGAGUUGUUUGGGAAUGCAGCUCAAAAUGGGUGGUAAAUUCCAUCUAAAGCUAAAUACAGGCGAGAGACCGAUAGCGAACAAGUACCGUGAGGGAAAGAUGAAAAGCACUUUGGAAAGAGAGUUAAACAGUACGUGAAAUUGUUGAAAGGGAAACGCUUGAAGUCAGUCACAUUCUGCAGAACUCAGCCUUGCCUUAUUAGGCCUGGUGUAUUUUCUGCAGGGAUGGGUCAACAUCAAUUUUGGUCAGUGGAUAAAGGAGGAGGGAAUGUGGCACCUGUGAAGGUGUGUUAUAGCCCUUUUUCAUAUACAUUGACUGGGAUUGAGGACUGCAGCAUGCCCUUUUGUGGGCCAGGCUUUUCAUGUCACAUGCUUAGGAUGUUGACAAAAUGGCUUUAAGCGACCCGUCUUGAAACACGGACCAAGGAGUCUAACAUGCCUGCAAGUGUUUGGGUGGAAAACCCUUGCGCAUAAUGAAAGUGAAAGUUGGGAACCUCCGCAAGGGGGUGCACUGACACCCGGCCCUGAUGUUUACUGACGGUGCUGCGGUAGAGCAUGUAUGUUGGGACCCGAAAGAUGGUGAACUAUGCCUGAAUAGGGUGAAGCCAGAGGAAACUCUGGUGGAGGCUCGUAGCGAUUCUGACGUGCAAAUCGAUCGUCAAAUUUGGGUAUAGGGGCGAAAGAC
Molecule: ribosomal RNA, 876 nt
Filed under: Coltriciella dependens
Lineage: Eukaryota; Fungi; Basidiomycota; Agaricomycetes; Hymenochaetales; Hymenochaetaceae
Description: eukaryotic LSU rRNA
Rfam family: Eukaryotic large subunit ribosomal RNA
Source: RNAcentral